CUCUUAUCAAGAGUGACCGAGGGAACAGGCCCAAUGACGUCCGGCAACCUCCUUUAUGGAACGGUGCUAAAUCCUGCAGAAUGAGCAAUUCAUUCUGAAAGAUAAGGU
Molecule: non-coding RNA, 108 nt
Filed under: Bacillus methanolicus
Lineage: Bacteria; Bacillati; Bacillota; Bacilli; Caryophanales; Bacillaceae
Also listed under: 1 other name
Description: SAM-I sequence
Rfam family: SAM riboswitch aptamer (S box leader)
About the family: The SAM riboswitch is found upstream of a number of genes which code for proteins involved in methionine or cysteine biosynthesis in Gram-positive bacteria.
Source: RNAcentral